UCCAUACUGGGCGCGCGAAUUCCACUGAAAGACUGCUAGCACAUCUUCAAAGUUUAAAGUCAGCAUCAUGGCUUCUGCGGGCAAGAAAAAACGAAUAAGUAACGUAACGAACACACAACCUUCAAAUAAUGGAGCAGGUUCGUCCUCUGGUACCGUUGGAGAUGGCCAGGUGUCUGGAUUUGUCGAAGGAUCCAUAAUUCGCAUCACAAUGCAAAACUUCCUGACCUACGACCACUCCAUAGUUUACCCUGGACCAAACCUAAACAUGAUUGUGGGGGCCAAUGGAACUGGCAAGUCCAGUAUUGUCUGUGCCAUAUGUCUGGGUCUGGCAGGAAAGACUGCCAUCCUGGGCAGAGGGGACAAGGUUGGGCUGUAUGUGAAGCGUGGAUGCAACAAAGGAUCGGUUGAGAUUGAACUGCACAAGGCCAAGGGGAACCUGGUGAUCAAUAGAGAGAUCCAUGUGGAGAAUAACCAGUCGACGUGGAUGCUUAAUGGGAAACACACCAGCCAGAAGACUGUGGAGGAGGAGGUGAAGGCUCUACAGAUCCAAGUGAGCAACCUCUGCCAGUUUCUGCCACAGGAGAAGGUGGGUGAGUUUGCCAAGAUGACCAAGGUUGAGCUGCUUGAGGCCACAGAGAAGUCAGUGGGACCUCCAGAGAUGUAUGAGUUCCACUGCGAGCUCAAGACCUUCCGCACCAAAGAGAGGGAACUGGAGAAUGUGUGCAAGGAGAAGGCCAGCGCCCUGGAGAAGUUCAAGCAAAGGAACGAACGGAACAAGCACGACGUGGAGCGCUACUAUGAGAAGAAGAGACACCUGGACAACAUCAAGAUGCUGGAGAAGAAGAAACCCUGGGUGGAGUAUGAGACAGCCCGUAAGGAGCUGGAGGGGGUGAAGAAGUCAAGGGAGGACGCCAAGAAGCAGCUGAAAACCGUGAGGGAGUCCCAGGCCCCCAUGCUAAAGAAGAUCCAGCACAUCGACAGUCAGCUGAGGCCCAUCGAGAACCAGAUGAAGGACAAGACGGUCAGCAUCAGGGAGGCCUCUCAGAAGUGUAAACAGAAACAGGACCAGCUGGACCGGAAGCACAGAGAGAUUGAGGAUAUCAAGCAGGCCUUCAGCCUGAAGCAGACGGAGGCGGCGGACCGCCAGAAGCGAAUCAGCAACACCCGGCGCAUGAUUGACGACCUGAGGGCGGAGCUGGCCAACAUAGGCGACCAAUCAGACGUGACGCCGCAGAUCAAUGCGGUGAAUGCGGAGCUGAGGCGCAUCCAGGAAGAGAAAGCAAAGAUGGAGGGAGAAAAGGCCGACAUGCGUAGAGAGAAGGACAACUUGAACGGAGAGUGUAGACUGUUGAAGAACAGGCUGAGGAGUCUGGAUGACAUGAUGAAAAUCAAGGAGGAGAAGCUGAGAGGGCGCUCCAAGGACACCUACGCUGCCAUCCAGUGGCUGAGGCAGAACAAACACAUCUUCAGUGGCAAUGUCUAUGAACCUAUGAUGCUAGUGAUUAGUGUCCGCAACCCUCACCAUGCCAAGUACGUGGAGAACCACAUUCCAUUCAAUGACCUGCGAGCCUUUGUCUUCCAGAAGAGGGAAGACAUGGAGAAGUUUAUGAUGGAGGUGCGUGACAGCCAGAACCUGAGGGUGAAUUCAGUCUUCGCUCCUGAGGAAUCCUGCGCCACCCGGGCUCCCUCCCGACCCAUCGAGUCUCUGAAGCGUUUUGGGUUCUUUGCGUACCUGCGAGAGCUCUUUGAUGCUCCAGAAGAGGUUAUGAGCUACCUCUGCAACCAGUACAAGGUGCACGACGUUCCCGUGGGAACGGACCAAACCAAAGCCAUGAUCAAGACGGUGAUUGAGGAGCCCUACCUGAAGGUGCUUUACACAGCUGAGGAGAAGUACUCUCUGAAGAAGUCCUUUUACUCAGGCAAGACUAGCACCAGUAACUCUGCCGUGCGGCCCUCCCAGUACCUCACCAUGGCCGUGGACGCCGAGGAGAAACGGCAGCUGGAGGAGCAGAUCAGGACGGCUGAAAAGAGCAUGCAGGCCAUCGAUGUCCAGAUGAGCGCCAUGCAGGAACGUACUGCCAAGCUGGAUCACUGUGACAAUGAGCUACGGGCCCAGAAGAAGGGGCUCUCAGAGAUGAAGGGUAAAAAGAGACAGUUGGAACAGAAGAUCAGUACCAAGCAGGACAGUCUUCGGCAGAUGGAGCAGGGGGGCAUUGACCUACAGAAGGCUGAGGAGGAGACCAAGGCCCAGAUCUCAGCAGUCAACUCCCAGAAGGUGGCCAUUGUGGCUGAGUUCAUGGCCCACAUGAAGCUGAGGGCUAAGUUGAGUAUGGAGAAGGUUUACAUGGCUCUAGAGACCGUGGGCAUGACAGCAGAGAAGACCAAGCUGGAGACUGACUGCAGGGAGGGCUCGGCUGAGCUCAGGGUCCUAGAGCAAGCGUGUGCCAUGCUGGAGCAGCGCAAGGCCCGUCUGUUGGAGAUGUGUAAGGGCCUGAUGAGGAGGGCCAGGGAGAUCUGCAACAUGGACCCUGGGGAGAGUGCUGUACCCCCAGACCUACACACGGCCUUCAGCCAGCUGCCCGACACUAUGGAUGAGAUAGACGCCAUGUUGAAUGAGGAGAGGUCCAGGGCAGACUGCUUCACUGGCCUCAGUGAGAAUGUGGUGGAUGAGUACAACAGGAGAGAGCAGGAGAUCAAGAACCUGGAGAAAGAGCUGGAUGAGAAGAGCAAUGCCCUGAAAACCUACAGACAGAACAUAUCAGAGGCAAAGGAGCGCUGGCUGAAUCCUCUGAAGCAACUUGUAGAGCAGAUCAAUGAUAAGUUCAGUGAUUUCUUCCGCUCCAUGCAGUGUGCCGGGGAGGUGGACCUGCAUUCAGAGAACGAGGUAAGGCACGCCAAACACCUGGACUAAGGGGGAGGUGCCAGAGUGUCUUAGAUGUUUGUGGGAGCUCUAGUAGCAGUCACAUAGGGUUGUCACCAUACCAGUGUUAACUCGAAAUGACACAACAACAAGGUUCCAGUUUAACAACGUUUACUAAACCGAAUUAGCACACUACAUGGUUGCCAUUGCACUCAGGCCGGGUUCAUCAACAACGAGACCCUGCCGCACUAAUAACAGAGUGAUAGCCCCGUAGUAACAGAAAUAGGAUACUUAACAUGAACUUUAACAACCAGUAUCGUGAUACUCAGGGGUAUCGUGGCAAAGAAACAAAACAUGAAGUGGAUUGAAUUUCCUGAGGAAAACAGUCCUAAUGUUGGAAACAAACAGCCAUAUGUUGUCACCCAGAAUCACGUAUCUUUUCCAAGAUAUAGCACACAAUAUUUUACAUACAGUAGUUUAUUUUUUUUAAGGACUAAAUAGUUUAGUCUCCUUUCUUUCCCUUUUUGCCAAGGAAAAUCCAGUAUCAUGACAACCCUAAAAGUAGUAAGUCUGUCUGUCUGUCUUACUGGUGUCUGCUCCCUGCAGGAGGAGUAUGAUAAAUACGGGAUCCGUAUCCGGGUGAAAUUCCGUAGCAGCACGCAGCUCCAUGAGCUCACAGCACACCACCAGAGUGGAGGGGAGCGCAGUGUCUCCACAAUGCUCUACCUCAUGGCCCUGCAAGAGCUCAACCGCUGUCCCUUCCGAGUGGUGGACGAGAUCAACCAGGGUAUGGACCCAGUCAAUGAAAGGAGAGUCUUUGACAUUGUUGUACGGACAGCCUGCAAGGAGACAACCUCCCAGUACUUCUUCAUCACACCCAAG
Non-coding RNA from Salmo salar (Atlantic salmon), 3742 nucleotides. Lineage: Eukaryota; Metazoa; Chordata; Actinopteri; Salmoniformes; Salmonidae. The record is from RefSeq and is a predicted model, not a curated record.